This 443-nucleotide ribosomal RNA is filed under the name uncultured bacterium. Its description in RNAcentral is "partial 16S ribosomal RNA". It matches the Rfam family "Bacterial small subunit ribosomal RNA", at positions 28 to 507 of the family's 1533-position model. The record is from RNAcentral.
GAUGAACGCUGGCGGCAUGCCUAACACAUGCAAGUCGAUCGGUAAGGCUCUUCGGUGUACCCGAGAGGCGGACGGCUGAGUAACGCGUAGGAACACACCCUGCAGUGAGGGAUAAGACACCGAACGGCGUUCUAAUACCGCAUACGGUCUUCGGAUUAAAGCAUUUCUGCGCUGAAGGAGUGGCCUGCGUCAUAUUAGAUAGUUGGUGAGGUAAUGGCUCACCAAGUCGAUGAUGUGUAGCUGGUCUGAGAGGAUGAUCAGCCAGACUGGAACUGAGACACGGUCCAGACUCCUACGGGAGGCAGCAGUGAGGAAUAUUUCACAAUGAGCGAAAGCUUGAUGGAGCAAUGCCGCGUGCAGGAUGAAGGCCCUCGGGUUGUAAACUGCUUUUAUAAGAGAAGAUUAUGACGGUAACUUAUGAAUAAGGGACGGCUAACUACGUG